UACUGGUUGGGACCGGAACCUGCUGGGAGCUCUGGACCCCUGAAUGUUUCUGGGCUGACGCGAGUCGAGCCGGCGGAAGUGAGGCUGCCGCAUCUGCGGGCCGGGCCCGGGAGAGGCUCCGAGAAACCCGGCCUGCAGGGUCGCCGCAGCCCACCGCUGCCGCCGCAAACCCUGCUUCUGCCUGUGCAUCGCGGGCAGCUGUUUCCGGGAUCAGCCUGGGCGCGGGGUGCCCGCAGUCCGGCGCCUGCUAACUGCGGCUCGGCGGCUGAGCACUAAGCGCCCUCAGUGGCUCCCGACACCGUACCUCUGCAGAUUUUUCUCCCUAACGAUUGGAAGAAGAGCCACUGGCUGAAUGGCUACAGUAGAUGACUUGCAGUUUGAAGAAUUUGGUGAUGCCACCACUUCCCUGGUAGCAACCCCAGAUGCCACCACAAUAAGAAUCGAGGAUCCUGAUGAAACACCAAAACAUCCGCCCGCACCCCCGAGAAGCUCAAGGAGAGAAGAAGAUGAUGAGUUACUGGGAAAUGAUGAUUCUGACAAAACUGAGUUACUUGCUGGACAGAAGAAGAGCUCCCCCUUCUGGACAUUUGAAUACUAUCAAACAUUCUUUGAUGUAGAUACUUACCAGGUCUUUGACAGAAUAAAAGGGUCUCUUUUGCCAAUACCAGGAAAAAACUUUGUGAGGUUAUAUAUCCGCAGCAAUCCAGAUCUCUAUGGUCCCUUUUGGAUAUGUGCCACAUUGGUCUUUGCUAUAGCAAUUAGUGGUAACCUUUCCAAUUUCUUAAUCCAUUUGGGAGAGAAGACAUACCAUUAUGUGCCCGAAUUCCGAAAAGUGUCCAUAGCAGCCACUAUCAUCUAUUCCUACGCCUGGCUCGUCCCUCUUGCGCUCUGGGGCUUCCUCAUGUGGAGAAACAGCAAAGUCAUGAACAUCGUUUCCUACUCGUUUUUGGAGAUUGUGUGCGUCUAUGGAUACUCACUGUUCAUUUACAUCCCCACAGCAAUACUGUGGAUCAUCCCCCAGAAAGCCGUGCGCUGGAUUCUAGUCACGGUUGCUCUGGGCAUCUCAGGCUCUGUCUUGGCGAUGACAUUUUGGCCAGCAGUUCGUGAGGAUAACCGGCGUAUCGCCCUGGCCACGAUCGUGACGAUUGUGCUGCUUCACAUGCUGCUUUCUGUGGGAUGCUUGGCAUACUUUUUUGAUGCACCAGAGAUGGACCAUCUCCCAGCAGCUACAGUAGUGACUCCAAACCAAACAGUUGCAGCAGCCAAGUCCAGCUAAAGAGAAAAUGGUUCAAUUCAGAGAAUCAACACUUCUUUGAUGACAUAACCUGCUGGUUAAGAAUUUGAGGAUGAGGAGCCAGGCACUGGCACACCCGAUUGAGCACACACGUUACCAUGUGCAAGGACUUGGGUUUGAGCCCCCACUCCCCACCUGCAGGGGGGAGCUUCAUGAGCAGUGAAGCAGGUUCUUCCAUUACAAAUGCAUGAGGAGUGUUGAUCAAGGCUGGGAUCUCUCUGCACGCUGGUCCAGGAAAGGCUCUUCCUCCAAGCUCACCCAACUGUUGGCAGGAUUCUGUUCCUUGUGGCUUGUUCGGUGAAGGCCACCUUGCUGGUUGUCUCCUGGAGCCCACCCUCACUCAGCUCCUUGCCAUUCAGCCCUCUCCGUGAGAUGGCUCACUUCAUCAAAGCCAUACGCAUUUGAGAAUCUGUCUACGGCUCUUCAGUUAGGAAGGUGAAAGGCACAGUCCAUGUGAUAUGAUCAUGGAAGUGACAUCACCUCCACCAUUUUCUUCUGUUGAUUAGCAAUAAAUCACAAGUCCUGUUCACACUCAAGGAGAGGGAUACACAAGCGUCCUUGAGGUAUAAUUGACAAAUAAAGUCGUAAGAUACUUCA
Erinaceus europaeus (western European hedgehog) is the source of this 1891-nucleotide RNA transcript. It is a transcript of the gene named Yip1 domain family member 1, with no coding region annotated. The transcript is spliced from 11 exons. The record is from RefSeq and is a predicted model, not a curated record. Lineage: Eukaryota; Metazoa; Chordata; Mammalia; Eulipotyphla; Erinaceidae.